CUGAGAGGAUGACCAGCCACACUGGAACUGAGACACGGUCCAGACUCCUACGGGAGGCAGCAGUGGGGAAUAUUGCACAAUGGGCGCAAGCCUGAUGCAGCCAUGCCGCGUGUAUGAAGAAGGCCUUCGGGUUGUAAAGUACUUUCAGCGGGGAGGAAGGGAGUAAAGUUAAUACCUUUGCUCAUUGACGUUACCCGCAGAAGAAGCACCGGCUAACUCCGUGCCAGCAGCCGCGGUAAUACGGAGGGUGCAAGCGUUAAUCGGAAUUACUGGGCGUAAAGCGCACGCAGGCGGUUUGUUAAGUCAGAUGUGAAAUCCCCGGGCUCAACCUGGGAACUGCAUCUGAUACUGGCAAGCUUGAGUCUCGUAGAGGGGGGUAGAAUUCCAGGUGUAGCGGUGAAAUGCGUAGAGAUCUGGAGGAAUACCGGUGGCGAAGGCGGCCCCCUGGACGAAGACUGACGCUCAGGUGCGAAAGCGUGGG
This 481-nucleotide ribosomal RNA is filed under the name Escherichia coli. RNAcentral describes it as "bacterial SSU rRNA". It matches the Rfam family "Bacterial small subunit ribosomal RNA", at positions 292 to 765 of the family's 1533-position model. Lineage: Bacteria; Pseudomonadati; Pseudomonadota; Gammaproteobacteria; Enterobacterales; Enterobacteriaceae. RNAcentral also lists the same sequence under 1 other name. The record is from RNAcentral.